RNAcentral lists this ribosomal RNA (665 nucleotides) under uncultured Ruegeria sp. RNAcentral's name for it is "bacterial SSU rRNA". It matches the Rfam family "Bacterial small subunit ribosomal RNA", at positions 30 to 743 of the family's 1533-position model. The record is from RNAcentral. Lineage: Bacteria; Pseudomonadati; Pseudomonadota; Alphaproteobacteria; Rhodobacterales; Roseobacteraceae.
GGAACGCUGGCGGCAGGCUAUCACCUGCACGUCUGAGCGCGCCUUCGGGUGAGCGGCGGACGGGUUAGUAACGCGUGGGAACGUGCCCUUCUCUACGGAAUAGCCUCUGGAAACGGAGAGUAAUACCGUAUACGCCCUUUGGGGGAAAGAUUUAUCGGAGAAGGAUCGGCCCGCGUUAGAUUAGGUAGUUGGUGGGGUAACGGCCUACCAAGCCUACGAUCUAUAGCUGGUUUUAGAGGAUGAUCAGCAACACUGGGACUGAGACACGGCCCAGACUCCUACGGGAGGCAGCAGUGGGGAAUCUUAGACAAUGGGGGCAACCCUGAUCUAGCCAUGCCGCGUGAGUGAUGAAGGCCUUAGGGUCGUAAAGCUCUUUCGCCUGUGAUGAUAAUGACAGUAGCAGGUAAAGAAACCCCGGCUAACUCCGUGCCAGCAGCCGCGGUAAUACGGAGGGGGUUAGCGUUGUUCGGAAUUACUGGGCGUAAAGCGCGCGUAGGCGGAUUAGAAAGUUGGGGGUGAAAUCCCGGGGCUCAACCCCGGAACUGCCUCCAAAACUGCUAGUCUAGAGUUCGAGAGAGGUGAGUGGAAUUCCGAGUGUAGAGGUGAAAUUCGUAGAUAUUCGGAGGAACACCAGUGGCGAAGGCGGCUCACUGGCUCGAUACUGA